Molecule: non-coding RNA, 829 nt
Organism: Durio zibethinus
Lineage: Eukaryota; Viridiplantae; Streptophyta; Magnoliopsida; Malvales; Malvaceae
Source: RefSeq, a predicted model, not a curated record
GGCUGCGUUGAGCCAGGGCAUUGCCAAGAAUCGACAUGGGGUUCCUUCAUGUCAACAAUUUGAUCAGAUAGGCUUCCAGGCUGCGCCAAGUUCAUCUGCAACAGUUCCAUUAGGAAAAUCAAAGCCUUCUCGGCCUUCCUUCUGACAUAUGGAUGCUUGAAGACGUUGAAGAUCAGAAUGGUAACACUCAAGUUGAAGAGUAACCCCAGGGGGCUGCAAGUGCGUAAAUUCAACAUGGUGGGCCUCACUCUAAUCAGGCCAAGCAUCAAGGCCUGACUCUAACCUGGUCAUCCGAGUCGUGGACAUGUCUGGUCCGGCCCUAUGUUUCAGGCUUUCAUCUGAAAGCUAAUCAUUAACCGCUGGUACAGAACAAGAGCAUCCGCUGGAAAUCUUGAACUUCAUCUGCUAGGUCAAACUACAAACAAGGCUUUCAACUGAGUGUUAUCGGAUGGAAAGAUUUGUCAUGUGUGUUAGAUCAGACGAUGAUAUUGAACUUCAUCAUUUUUCAAAUCAUUUUUGCAUUUUACAAUGUGCUUGAAAUAUUAAUAAUAAAUAAACUUAAUUGCUUGAAUUGGUAUAAGAAUUUAAGAUAGUAUUUCAAUCAAUUUUUUGCUUGUCUAGAUUUUUUUGUGAAAUCCAAAACUUCAGUGACAUGGUACUUUCGAAAAUUUAUUGAGAUUCCAGAAUGACAAAUGACAAUAACAGUAGACAAGAAUAAGAACACAACAACAAUUUCAUGCAAACUUGUUCAGGAUACCAAUUUGCAUUGUGCAACAAUCAAAUGCUCUAGAAGAGUAAGUUUAUAGUAAGUACCAACCAAAAACAAAAA